CCUUUUAAUUGGAGGCCUGCAUGAAUGGCUUGACGAGCGCCCUGCUGUCUCUCUUCCCAUGAACUUUUAAAUUAACUUUCGCGUGCAAAGGCGCGAAUGGCUGAGUUAGACGAAAAGACCCUAUGCAUCUUUACUGAGAGAGAAGAAAGUUCUUUAGCUUGGUUUAGCUGGGGCAGCUGAGGAAAAGGCAAAAUUUCCUUAAUAUAAAUCAUACUGGUGGGUUUAGAUCCAGGCUCUUUAGCGGGCUUGACAAGUAGAAAAGUUACGCUAGGGAUAACAGCGUUAUCCUUCUGUGGAGGUCUUAUCUGCAGGAGGGAUUGCGACCUCGAUGUUGAAUUAGGGAUAUACCAGAAAGGCGCAGAAGCUUUUAUUGUGGGUC
Molecule: ribosomal RNA, 379 nt
Filed under: Pinna nobilis
Lineage: Eukaryota; Metazoa; Mollusca; Bivalvia; Pterioida; Pinnidae
Description: partial 16S ribosomal RNA
Rfam family: Bacterial large subunit ribosomal RNA
Source: RNAcentral